CCUCCUCCUGAUCGAAGCCCGUGUUCCGGCAGUACAACUGCUCCAAUAGGAAUCCAUGGGUACCCGAUCCAGAUUUCACAGGGACUUCGGUGCCGUAAAAGGAAGCCGUCGACCAGAUUCUCGGUUAAUCCCAUCGCACUCCCGAUCCAGCACCUUCUCCGUGCGCUGCUCUCGAUCCCCUUCUCCCUGUGCUGCUUGAUGGGUAGCCGUGCUGGACGGUGUGGAGGCGUCGAGGCGUCGCUAUCCUGCAAAUCUAUGGCGGAUCAAGUUCCCCUAUGGACGUCGCAUGUGAGGCUCGGCCUUGCCCGAUGCACUCGCGGCUAAGUCUAGGUCGAGUGAGGCGCGGGGGAGGCAGGAGGGGCGCCGACCGGACGGCUGAAUACGGUGCUCAGUGCUAGGGGUUACAGCUGAUCACAGGUGCAGCGCCUUCAGCGGCCGGCACCCAGCUCUGGGGCGCUCGAUCCGGUGGUGCGUUCACGUGCCGUGUGAUUUCCCCCUGUAACUUCGGUCGCCUUCCAUCUCCAGGGACAAUGGCAAGCUCCGUCCGGCCGACGGCAAGGUACCCAGGAGAAGCGGAUGGCUGACGUGUAGACCACAGCAAACGAUCAGGUUUAUGAAAUAAUAGAUAAUGUUGUCGUUGAAGCUCAAGCAAGCUAUGCUACUGAGAUAAUGUCUUCAUGAUGACAAUUCAGUUAGUGUCACUGACAACGUCCAGGGGUUAUGCAGUUCCUAAAACCAUGGAAAACUUCCUGAACGUUCAAUGCUUCUGCAAGUAUUGUGAAUAAUCUAACUGAAUGAGUUCAGUUUUGUGCUGCUGCAUAGUGUCGAACAUCCUGAGCAUGGUGAUUUCGGGGCCUAUGGCAUGGUAGAUGUGUGGGCCCGUGGCUGCGAGCUCGGCCAUUGACGCCCUCGAGCACUGACAGCGACGCCUCUCCUCGGGCAGAGUUCUAUGCAUGAGUACAACGCCAUGACAAUUCUCAGAGUCAUUGACCCGUUGAGCAUUACUGUUUCUGUUUGUAUUUUUGUUUUUAUGACGUCUAAAAUCUAGAUGAUCCAAUGUACCAUGGUCGUCAAUUAGUGCUCACUCACACAUCGCACAUGUGCAAAACCAAAUUGGCUGUUCAUUGGAGAGUCAUACGAAAUCUGAAGAAAUCCAGUCUUCAUGUGUAUCUCCCGUUAUAUCUCCACUCUGUUCUUGUCUGCUCUGUUUUAAGGAAGAAAGUUGAUUGGCGGCCAUUUCCAGUAUGCAGAUGGGAUGGCAACGACUAUUCCUUGAUUGAAGGAUGCAAUGCAUCUCGCUGAAUCCCAAGCUGUACAAUUUUGGUUCUGCCUAGAUACCUAGGCAGGGGAGAUCAAAUCUGCAAGUUGGGUAGAAAGCUAGGCAUGAUUCUCGGUCUAGGCGAGGUGCAGCGACAUGGAGCUGCUUGGCGAAACAAGUUCAGAGUGGUGCCUUGGAACAUCAAUCCAUGAUAAUGUCGUCAGGUCUUCGAAGUUUCAAAUGGCAUUUUAAAAAUUCUUCUCUCAUCCUGGAGUAUGUUCACCGACGAAUCUCACACAGGACCUCAUCAUCAAUGCGGUGCAUAUGUGGUUAGCAGGAAAAAAACUAAAAGUGCCUUCCUCCAGGCCAUGACCCCUGCAUGUUGCAUGUCCCUUAUGUCUAUACUAAUGGCCAUGGGGGUCAUUCAGUGCGGUACAUAAGAUACAAUAAUCUUUCACAUCAAGUCUUGCACAAAAAAAAUCAAGGCAGCAGUUCUAUGUUUAUGUUGUGCUUGAUUUCCAUUUUUUUUGCAUUCCGGUUUUGUUUCUUUUUGAAUAAAAAUGUUACUCCAAAGAAUAUUUCAGAGUGUCUCUUAUAGGAAACCAAGACGUGAUAGGGCCGUCACAUUUUUGGUUUUCCAAAUGGCCUUUUAAAAGUCCUUAUCUCAUUCUAGCCUAUGUUCGUGCGAUGGAUCUCACGCACAACCUCAUUAGCGAUUUUUGCAUAAGCUUGGAACCAAUCAAGAAUUGCAUCAACUAGAUG
Triticum aestivum (bread wheat) is the source of this 2020-nucleotide long non-coding RNA. RefSeq lists it as uncharacterized. The transcript is spliced from 3 exons. Lineage: Eukaryota; Viridiplantae; Streptophyta; Magnoliopsida; Poales; Poaceae. The record is from RefSeq and is a predicted model, not a curated record.